This 663-nucleotide ribosomal RNA is filed under the name Vibrio parahaemolyticus. RNAcentral's name for it is "partial 23S ribosomal RNA". It matches the Rfam family "Bacterial large subunit ribosomal RNA", at positions 2268 to 2925 of the family's 2925-position model. The record is from RNAcentral. Lineage: Bacteria; Pseudomonadati; Pseudomonadota; Gammaproteobacteria; Vibrionales; Vibrionaceae.
GUUUGACUGGGGCGGUCUCCUCCCAAAGAGUAACGGAGGAGCACGAAGGUGGGCUAAUCACGGUUGGACAUCGUGAGGUUAGUGCAAUGGCAUAAGCCCGCUUGACUGCGAGAAUGACAAUUCGAGCAGGUGCGAAAGCAGGUCAUAGUGAUCCGGUGGUUCUGAAUGGAAGGGCCAUCGCUCAACGGAUAAAAGGUACUCCGGGGAUAACAGGCUGAUACCGCCCAAGAGUUCAUAUCGACGGCGGUGUUUGGCACCUCGAUGUCGGCUCAUCACAUCCUGGGGCUGAAGUCGGUCCCAAGGGUAUGGCUGUUCGCCAUUUAAAGUGGUACGCGAGCUGGGUUUAGAACGUCGUGAGACAGUUCGGUCCCUAUCUGCCGUGGGCGUUGGAAGAUUGAAGGGGGCUGCUCCUAGUACGAGAGGACCGGAGUGGACGAACCUCUGGUGUUCGGGUUGUGUCGCCAGACGCAUUGCCCGGUAGCUAAGUUCGGAAUCGAUAACCGCUGAAAGCAUCUAAGCGGGAAGCGAGCCCUGAGAUGAGUCUUCCCUGAUACUUUAAGUAUCCUAAAGGGUUGUCGGAGACUACGACGUUGAUAGGUCAGGUGUGUAAGUGCUGUGAGGCAUUGAGCUAACUGAUACUAAUUGCCCGUGAGGCUUAACCAU